UGCCAGACUCCUACGGGAGGCAGCAGUGGGGAAUAUUGCACAAUGGGGGAAACCCUGAUGCAGCGACGCCGCGUGAGUGAAGAAGUAUUUCGGUAUGUAAAGCUCUAUCAGCAGGGAAGAAAUAGCGACCUUUGGGUCGCCAGACGGUACCUGACUAAGAAGCCCCGGCUAACUACGUGCCAGCAGCCGCGGUAAUACGUAGGGGGCAAGCGUUAUCCGGAUUUACUGGGUGUAAAGGGAGCGUAGACGGCAGCACAAGUCUGAAGUGAAAUGCCGGGGCUUAACCCCGGAACUGCUUUGGAAACUGUGCAGCUAGAGUGCAGGAGAGGUAAGUGGAAUUCCUAGUGUAGCGGUGAAAUGCGUAGAUAUUAGGAGGAACACCAGUGGCGAAGGCGGCUUACUAAACUGUGACUGACAUUGAUGCUCGAAAGUGUGGGUAUCAAACAGGAUUAGAUACCCCCUGUAC
Molecule: ribosomal RNA, 466 nt
Filed under: uncultured bacterium
Lineage: Bacteria
Description: bacterial SSU rRNA
Rfam family: Bacterial small subunit ribosomal RNA
Source: RNAcentral